Molecule: non-coding RNA, 21 nt
Filed under: Arabidopsis thaliana (thale cress)
Lineage: Eukaryota; Viridiplantae; Streptophyta; Magnoliopsida; Brassicales; Brassicaceae
Source: RNAcentral
CCGGAGUUCUCGGAUGCCUUC